UACGUAGGGUGCAAGCGUUAAUCGGAAUUACUGGGCGUAAAGCGUGCGCAGGCGGUUUUGUAAGUCUGACGUGAAAUCCCCGGGCUCAACCUGGGAAUUGCGUUGGAGACUGCAAGGCUAGAAUCUGGCAGAGGGGGGUAGAAUUCCACGUGUAGCAGUGAAAUGCGUAGAGAUGUGGAGGAACACCGAUGGCGAAGGCAGCCCCCCUGGGUCAAGAUUGACGCUCAUUGCACGAAAGCGUGGGGAGCAAACAGG
RNAcentral lists this ribosomal RNA (255 nucleotides) under uncultured bacterium. RNAcentral's name for it is "partial 16S ribosomal RNA". It matches the Rfam family "Bacterial small subunit ribosomal RNA", at positions 524 to 776 of the family's 1533-position model. The record is from RNAcentral.